UCAUAGCUCAGUUGGUUAGAGCAC
This 24-nucleotide non-coding RNA is filed under the name Arabidopsis thaliana (thale cress). Lineage: Eukaryota; Viridiplantae; Streptophyta; Magnoliopsida; Brassicales; Brassicaceae. The record is from RNAcentral.